CAACUGUGUAUGUGCUGCACCUCUGCUGACUCUGCUACCACUUGAACCCACACAGUCCUCCUACAGAGAGCUUGGUUUUCUCCAUACAAAAUAAUGAAGGCUAUUUCCAGUUGUCUCGAAAGACUCAGAUUUUGACAAUAUGAGCUCAGAGACCCAGGAAGUUUUGAGGGAUAAAACAUGAGGAAGACUCCAGGUCUCUAGUUGCUGGCUGCAUUGGUUCCUCUGUCUCUCCACUUUCUUGAAAGAGAAGUCAGGGAAUCCCAUUGCUCAGCUACCUAUAUCCUACCCUCCCAACAGAUAAAAGUGCAACAGACAUACAUAGUUUUUGAAGAACAGUGAGAAAUUUAGGAUUAAACAGAUUGUUGGAUUGAUGACUGAACAACAGAAAAAAGUUUCUGGAUUUUUUUUAAUUGGUCUGAAAUAAGACAAUCUUUUUUUUUUUUUCUCCAACAAAAUAACCAUAAAUUCUU
Molecule: long non-coding RNA, 470 nt
Filed under: Anas platyrhynchos platyrhynchos (common mallard)
Lineage: Eukaryota; Metazoa; Chordata; Aves; Anseriformes; Anatidae
Description: lncRNA (ENSAPLG00000021232.1)
Source: RNAcentral